ACGGGUGAGUAACACAUCGGAACGUGCCCUAUCGUGGGGGAUAACGAAUCGAAAGAUUCGCUAAUACCGCAUACGACCUGAGGGUGAAAGCGGGGGAUCGCAAGACCUCGCGCGAUUGGAGCGGCCGAUGUCGGAUUAGCUAGUUGGUGAGGUAAAGGCUCACCAAGGCGACGAUCCGUAGCUGGUCUGAGAGGACGACCAGCCACACUGGGACUGAGACACGGCCCAGACUCCUACGGGAGGCAGCAGUGGGGAAUUUUGGACAAUGGGGGCAACCCUGAUCCAGCCAUUCCGCGUGAGUGAAGAAGGCCUUCGGGUUGUAAAGCUCUUUCGGCAGGAACGAAACGGUGGAGGCUAAUACCUUUCAUCAAUGACGGUACCUGAAGAAGAAGCACCGGCUAACUACGUGCCAGCAGCCGCGGUAAUACGUAGGGUGCGAGCGUUAAUCGGAAUUACUGGGCGUAAAGCGUGCGCAGGCGGCUUUGUAAGACAGGUGUGAAAUCCCCGGGCUUAACCUGGGAACUGCGCUUGUGACUGCAAGGCUUGAGUGUGGCAGAGGGGGGUGGAAUUCCACGUGUAGCAGUG
This 585-nucleotide ribosomal RNA is filed under the name uncultured bacterium. RNAcentral's name for it is "bacterial SSU rRNA". It matches the Rfam family "Bacterial small subunit ribosomal RNA", at positions 102 to 683 of the family's 1533-position model. The record is from RNAcentral.